UACGGAGGGGGCUAGCGUUGUUCGGAAUUACUGGGCGUAAAGCGCACGUAGGCGGGUUGUUAAGUCAGGGGUGAAAUCCUGGAGCUCAACUCCAGAACUGCCUUUGAUACUGGCAACCUAGAGACUGGAAGAGGUUAGUGGAAUUCCCAGUGUAGAGGUGAAAUUCGUAGAUAUUGGGAAGAACACCAGUGGCGAAGGCGGCUCACUGGCCCGAUACUGACGCUGAGGCACGAAAGCGUGGGGAGCAAACAGG
This 253-nucleotide ribosomal RNA is filed under the name uncultured bacterium. RNAcentral's name for it is "partial 16S ribosomal RNA". It matches the Rfam family "Bacterial small subunit ribosomal RNA", at positions 524 to 776 of the family's 1533-position model. The record is from RNAcentral.